Molecule: small RNA, 78 nt
Filed under: Epilithonimonas arachidiradicis
Lineage: Bacteria; Pseudomonadati; Bacteroidota; Flavobacteriia; Flavobacteriales; Weeksellaceae
Description: Chryseobacterium arachidiradicis Flavo-1 RNA
Source: RNAcentral
UCGCAGCCCGACCUGAGUGGAGCUCUUUUUCUUUUUUUUGAGAAAAAGAAAAAAGCGGGAAUGGAGGGCGGAUUAAGC